Molecule: ribosomal RNA, 334 nt
Filed under: uncultured eukaryote
Lineage: Eukaryota
Description: partial 18S ribosomal RNA
Rfam family: Eukaryotic small subunit ribosomal RNA
Source: RNAcentral
CCCUUAGAUGUCCGGGGCCGCACGCGCGCUACACUGAAGGAAUCAGCGUGGCUUUCUCCCUGACCCGAAAGGGUUGGGAAACCCGUUGAAUCUCCUUCGUGAUAGGGAUUGGGGCUUGAAAUUGUUCCCCAUGAACGAGGAAUUCCCAGUAAGCGCGAGUCAUAAGCUCGCGUUGAUUACGUCCCUGCCCUUUGUACACACCGCCCGUCGCUACUACCGAUUGAACGGUUUAGUGAGGGCCUCGGAUUGGUCUCGGCCCGCUCUUUACCGGGCGGCGCCGUUGGUCGAGAAGACGCUCGAACUCGAUCGCUUGGAGAAAGUAAAAGUCGUAACA